RNAcentral lists this non-coding RNA (21 nucleotides) under Caenorhabditis elegans. The record is from RNAcentral. Lineage: Eukaryota; Metazoa; Nematoda; Chromadorea; Rhabditida; Rhabditidae.
UGAAAAUCAAGUUCUCUAAGG